GGAGAGGCUGGUGGACCUAGAUCAGCUUAGGGCUAAUUAGGACAGAGCUCUGUUUCUCUUGCUGGGAAAGCAGCCUGAUUGCAGCCCUGAGCCAGCUAGUUUGCCUGCUAGAUCAGCCCUCCUGAGAAGGCAACCAGCAGAAGCACAGACUGGGAGACUAGCCCUGAAUACAAGGCUGGGGCCCUACUGAAGGUUUAUAGGCUGAUGCAGGUUUUGAGUUGGGUUUGAUUUUGUUCCAGAUUACCUCUGAACUUCAGAUGCAAGAAAAGAAGUAGGACUGGAGGGUUCUUUGGCUGUCGGGCCAAAAUACCAUUUUACCGGACCUCAGUUAGGACAGAGACAUACACAUGGAGACUAACAGCUGGAGAAAGAAGGUGCUUAAAGGAGAUGGUGGUACUGGAAAUAUUGAAAUAUAUAAAGAGAACAUAGAGAAGUACAAUCUGAAUGGAAAGGCUCUAAUAUUCAGCACAAAGGAAGAACUCUGAAAAAUCACAGGCAUGAAUCUGGCACACUGGGCCAACUUCAACUGUCCUAUUCCUCAGAGUUUGCCUGGAAACUGUUUUUUCCCCAUUCAUCUGUGCCCAGAGCUGCUGCUCUGAGAUCCUAAUAGCAUAGACACUAAUUCUUCCCUCAUUUAAAUGCACACAAUUCCUGUUAAAGCUAAAGGGUACCAAAAUGCAGAACUGAAAUCAAAGCUUAGCUAUAAAAUGGGUUUUUGUUUUUUUUUUUAAAAAAAACCCUUAAAACAUGCUGGCAUAGUGGGUGAAGAGCUACAGCAUAGAUUGGACCUCAGUGCAUCCCUGAGAUCACUCCAUCUGUCUGGGCCUGCUCAAAUGGCAGAUGUUUGAAACUAAACCUACAGCAAAAUGAACAUGUGCUAAAAAGACCUUGUUUUCCAAAAUGGAGAAGACUUUCCUGACUGGACUGGAUUUGAGAGGUUCUUAAGUUUAUGUGCACUUUGACAGGCUGACUCAGACUUCACCAUCUUGUAGGUUAUAGUUUAUCUCAAAUCUUAGUUUCCAUCUGUGACGUGGUCGGGGCCAAAGCUGCAGCUGGAGCUACAGCCUGGAGUGGGGCCGCAGUUGCGGUCGGGGCCAGGAGCAGAGUUGGGGGGCCGAGCAUAGCUGGGUGGCGCUUCCUCCCUACCCCCUGUGGGGGCUGGCCUGGGCCUUGCUGCAGCCCACUACGGGGUCUCACCCUACAGUUUGGGGACCACUGCAUUAAAUGCUAUGCUAUUCUCUCACUAAACUCAAUAUUUCCAAACAAGUGUAAUUUGAUGCAAGUUUCCUUGCCAAAUACUGCUGCCUUGAUUAUAGUUCUGAGAAAACAUUUUUGUUUAGAAGUGAAAACAGAUGGUCUGGGAAACCUAUUCCUCACUAUCUCCCCAAAUCAUGUGCACCACAGGGAUACUAAGUUUAGCACAGGAGAAGGAGGACCUCCCUUGGUUGUAGAAAUCCCUUAUUAAAAUACUGGCAAAGCAUAAGUGGUUCAUACAGUUAGUACCAUUUCACUAAUUGCCUAUAACGUACUGUCUCAUUUUACUGUUUUGAACACAAUGUAGAAAUGUGUUUUUGCAAAUCUAAUAUCUCAUGCUGAUCUCUUUAGUUAUAGACAAACUAAGACCUUCACUAAACAAGAAUGACACGCAAACAUUGACAAAUGCUGUUGGGUUUUACAAAUCUUGACUACAAGACAUUUUUAUAGGUGUUCAUAACAGGUCCUGAAAAUCUGUAGGCUGGUACUGAACAUCCUCAAAACUCUCAUUUACUUUAAUGGGAGUUGAAAACACUUUAUACCUCUCACUUUGCAUAUUUCCAGAAUGCAGCCUGAAUUUAUGCAGGUAACUAGUCAAAUUACUUCCCUUUUAAGUGCCCUACACUGGCUCCUCAUCCAAUUCUGUAUUAAUUUUGAAAUUUUAUUAAUUUUAAGGCCCUUAUUUACUUCAUCAUGGGGUGCGAGGCUUAAGUAAAUGUUUGCAAAAGGCCUUGAGCAUCUCUGAUGAAAGGCACUAGAGAAGGGCAAAAUAAAAUAUAUUUAUAUUGGCCUGAAAUUUUAACACCCUAUAUCCUUGAAGUUCAAAACGGUAGGACUUUGUCCAUGUUACAUCUUGGGGUGUCUGAGAAAAUUUGGGACCUCUGGUUACUCUCUAUACCCUACAAAUGUCAAACUUACUGCCCCUCUGUUCAUAUAGCCCCCUAGGUUGCAGGGUGUAAUAUAAACUAAACAAAGCCUGGCUGCUGUUGCUUUUAAAAUGCAGCAACGUGUCCUGUGCGGGAUGCUGUAGAAAGAAAUUGUAUUGCUGCUGUCA
Long non-coding RNA from Dermochelys coriacea (leatherback sea turtle), 2308 nucleotides. RefSeq lists it as uncharacterized. Lineage: Eukaryota; Metazoa; Chordata; Testudines; Dermochelyidae. The record is from RefSeq and is a predicted model, not a curated record. The transcript has 2 exons.